UACGUAGGGUGCAAGCGUUAAUCGGAAUUACUGGGCGUAAAGGGCGCGUAGGCGGACAGUUUAGUCAGAGGUGAAAGCCCAGGGCUCAACCUUGGAAUUGCCUUUGAUACUGGCUGUCUUGAGUACGGGAGAGGUGAGUGGAACUCCGAGUGUAGAGGUGAAAUUCGUAGAUAUUCGGAAGAACACCAGUGGCGAAGGCGACUCACUGGCCCGUUACUGACGCUGAGGCGCGAAAGCGUGGGGAGCAAACAGGG
RNAcentral lists this ribosomal RNA (254 nucleotides) under uncultured bacterium. RNAcentral's name for it is "partial 16S ribosomal RNA". It matches the Rfam family "Bacterial small subunit ribosomal RNA", at positions 524 to 777 of the family's 1533-position model. The record is from RNAcentral.